UACGGAGGAUCCGAGCGUUAUCCGGAUUUAUUGGGUUUAAAGGGUGCGCAGGCGGGAUGUUAAGUCGGCGGUGAAAUUUUGCAGCUCAACUGUAAAAGUGCCUUCGAUACUGGCUUUCUUGAGUGUGGAUGAAGUAGGCGGAAUUUGUGGUGUAGCGGUGAAAUGCUUAGAUAUCACGAGGAACUCCGAUUGCGCAGGCAGCUUACUAAACUAUAACUGACGCUCAGGCACGAAGGCGUGGGGAUCAAACAGGAUUAGAUAUCCCU
RNAcentral lists this ribosomal RNA (266 nucleotides) under uncultured prokaryote. RNAcentral describes it as "partial 16S ribosomal RNA". It matches the Rfam family "Bacterial small subunit ribosomal RNA", at positions 524 to 788 of the family's 1533-position model. The record is from RNAcentral.